AGUGAUCCAAACUGCCCGAUCAUGAGUUGGAAUGUACGAGGUUUGAACUCGCCGGCCCGGCGGGAAGUUGUUUUGGAAACGGCGGGCGCACAAGCUAGCCAUCUGUGCCUGCAGGAAACGAAAAUCGACGAGUGGAGUAGGGCUCUAGUUAGAGAGACGGGAGGAACGCGGCUUGCCGACUGCACCGUCCUCCCUGCCAUGGGCACAAGGGGAGGAGUCACCAUCUUCUGGGAUAGAAGCAGAGUAGAGGUGCUGUCGCAUGAUGUUGGUUGCUUCUCAAUCACUGCCAAGAUCACCAUUAUCGCUAGCAGAUCUACGUUCUGGCUCACAUCAGUCUACGGGCCGGUUGACAACGGGAGGAAGAGCAACUUUCUGGCAGAGCUGGCGCGGGCUGCUCCUCCAUCAGACACCCCCUGGCUCAUCAACAUCGAUUUCAACCUGAUAUAUGAGGCACGCGACAAAAACAACACCAACAUUAAUCGUAGGAUCAUGGGAACGUUUCGUGCGGCGAUCGACGCGGCUGGACUGAAGGAGAUCAAGUGC
This 543-nucleotide ribosomal RNA is filed under the name Triticum aestivum (bread wheat). RNAcentral's name for it is "partial small subunit ribosomal RNA". Lineage: Eukaryota; Viridiplantae; Streptophyta; Magnoliopsida; Poales; Poaceae. The record is from RNAcentral.